GGGACGAACGCUGGCGGCGUGCUUAACACAUGCAAGUCGAGCGGAAAGGCCCUUCGGGGUACUCGAGCGGCGAACGGGUGAGUAACACGUGAGUAACCUGCCCCUAGCUCUGGGAUAGCUCCGGGAAACCGGGAUUAAUACUAGAUACGACCACUUUAGACAUCUGUCGUGGUGGAAAGGAUUCCGGCUGAGGAUGGACUCGCGGCCUAUCAGCUAGUUGGUGGAGUAACGGCCCACCAAGGCGACGACGGGUA
This 254-nucleotide ribosomal RNA is filed under the name uncultured bacterium. RNAcentral's name for it is "partial small subunit ribosomal RNA". It matches the Rfam family "Bacterial small subunit ribosomal RNA", at positions 27 to 285 of the family's 1533-position model. The record is from RNAcentral.